AAAAGAAAGCAGAAGAGACUACUUCUGAAUUCUUACUACCCUCAUUUUUCCCAUUCUAACAAACCUAUUACCACAUUAUCAUGAUCUCCAAACAAAAAUUCCAAAAAAUUUCUAAAAAAAAAAAAAAAAAAAGUCUCAGCUGCUUCAAUUUCACAAUCUCUCAUUCUGAAUCACUCUCCAUGCUUCCCAUGGCCUUCAGUCCUCUCGGUCUCUUCUUAGUGCUCUUCUUCUCCCUCACUUCAUACCUCUCUUGGCACAUAUCAGUCAACCAAGCCCCAGGGCUCACUAAAAGUAAGCUUCUUUGGAUAAUCUUGGC
Molecule: unclassified non-coding RNA, 316 nt
Filed under: Hevea brasiliensis (rubber tree)
Lineage: Eukaryota; Viridiplantae; Streptophyta; Magnoliopsida; Malpighiales; Euphorbiaceae
Source: RNAcentral